Physeter macrocephalus (sperm whale) is the source of this 4217-nucleotide long non-coding RNA. RefSeq lists it as uncharacterized. The record is from RefSeq and is a predicted model, not a curated record. The transcript is spliced from 4 exons. NCBI's taxonomy places the organism in Eukaryota, Metazoa, Chordata, Mammalia, Artiodactyla, Physeteridae.
CUGCUCCUGGGAAGCGAAGCUUCACACUGAGGACGAGGAGGUGGUUUCAGACCGCAGCGCCCGGGCUCCUCCUCCCGCGCUACCCAGGGAGGCGGGCUGUGCUCUUUUCAAGGUCCCGCCAAAGGGCCCCGCCAUCCCGCAGAGAGACCUUCGCAGCCUUCCCUCCUACACUAGGCCGGGGACCGCCGGACCGGAAGCUGCGAGGUCUCGGGGCCCCGGCUCGUUCUCGCCUAGCCGCAAGCCGCGGGUGCGCAUGCUCCGCGAAAGCCCGCACAGGGCCCGGGUGAACCCUGAUAGAGCCAUCGCGAGGCGGGCUGUUGUUAUGGGCGUGCUAGGAGUUAACUCCUGGGAUGGAAAUACUACCAGGAGCGGUGAGAAGCAGGACCUAGAAAGCUCGGAGGAAGUGGGUGGAAGGUGGAGCUCUUGUCUGUCUCCUCGGCUGCUAAUCCCAGCCCCAGAUUCCGAAAGGGGAGCCCCAUGCCUCCUGAAAUGUGAGAAAAUCCUUCCACCUCACCCAACCUGGCUGCCAGUUCCUCGCUGAACCAGAUCUUUUCGCUCACAGGCUCAUCCUCAGCAGAUGGUUAUUGCUGGAACAGUGGUGGUUUGGGGAACUCUUUUUUGCUCAGAUGGUGAAGUGGGAAGGAUCUGUAGUGCUGUCCCCUCUAAUUCCUGAUAUUGGUAAUUUAUGGUUUCCCCCCGCUGCCGCCCCGAUCAGUCUCAGAAGAUGUUUUCCACUUUUAUUUAUCUUUUCAAAUAUCCAGUUUUUGGUUUCGUUGGUUUUUCUUUAUUGUCUUCCUGCUUUUCAUCUGAUUCUGAUGCACUGGAAGAGAAUGUGUACUGUGCUGUUGCUGGACAGUGUGUUCUGUCAAUGUCAAUUAUAUCAAGUUGGUUUAUAGGGCUCUUCAAGCCUUCUAUACCGUUGAUUUUUCUGCCUGCUUGUUCUGUCACUGAGAGAAGGGCAUGAAAAUAACCAACUGCAGUGAUAGGUUUUUCUAUCUUUUAGUUCUAUCUUUUCCUCCUUCGUGUUGCUGGAAGCUCUGUUAUUGGCGGUGUACAUGUUUAGGACUGUUCUCUUUUUUAAAAAAAUUUAUUUUUAUUUAUUUAUUUUUGGCUGUGUUGGGUCUUCGUUGCUGUGGGCGGGCUUUCUCUAGUUGCGGCGAGCAGGGGCCACUCUUCGUCGCGGUGCAUGGGCUUCUCACUGCAGUGGCUUCUUUUGUUGCAGAGCACGGGCUCUAGGCAUGCGGGCUUCAGUAGUUGUGGCACAUGGACUCAGUAGUUGUGGCUGGUGGCUUCUAGAGAGCAGGCUCAGUAGUUGUGGCGCACGGGCUUAGUUGCUCCGCGGCAUGUGGGAUCUUCCCAGACCAGGGCUUGAACCCGUGUCCCCUGCAUUGGCAGGCAGAUUCUUAACCACUGUGCCUCCAGGGAAGCCCCUUAACUGUUACAUUCUUUUAAAUACUCUGGUUAAUGAGUUGAUUCCUUCUCUUUAAAACUUUCAUUACACCCUUCCCUCCAUACCUAGUCUUUUCAUUCAUUUCCUCUUAGCCUUCUUUCCCUUUUUUCUUCUAAAUUUAUUUUUAUCUUCUCCUAUCUAUUUUUUUCUUCUUUUUAACAUAAACUGUAAAACUGAAUUCUCUUUAAGUGUUUCUAUGCUCCUUGCUGUCUGGCGGGCCCCCUGGGAGCAGAGGCAGGCAGCUAGGGUGGAGUUCAUGCUGGGGGGAGCCUGGUGGGGUGAGGAUCGUUCCCCUCUUCUGUUGGUUUCCUGCCUUUCCCCACAGAGUCCUUGACAACCCCUGACCUUAAUGAUCCAGAUGCCCCUCUUACUUCCCAUAACACUAAGCCAUCCAUGAUGACUACAGUUGAAACUCCAAGGAAUAUGGAUCCCAGAGAAGAGCGGGCUGAAGAGGGUUAUAUGACUUGCUUUCAUAUAUUCAUGAAAGGAGUAGACAUAUUCAGUCUUGACCUAGAGGGAAGAACAUGAACUUAGAACUACAGCCCAUGGCGACUUCCCUGGUGGUCCAGUGGUUAAGACUCCACGCUCCCUAUGCAGGGGGCCUGGGUUCCAUCCCUGGUCAGGGAACUAGAUCCUGCAUGCCGCAACGAAGACCUGGGGCAGCCAAAUUAAUAAAUAAGUAAAUAUUAAAAAACAAACCAAAAAAAACCCAAAAAACUAUAGCCCAUGGGCGAUGAUGACAAGGAAGCAAAUUUACUUUUAAAAUGAUUAGCAGAGUUGAGAAGUGGGAUGGGUUGACUGGUGAAGGAGCGUGUUUCCCAACUUUAAAAGUGAUUGAGCUGAAGCUGUAAUGUAGUAGAAGAGAAUCUUGCAUUGGUUGGGGGGUUGGUGAGGCUUCUAAGAUCUCUUUUAACGCUACGAUUCUUAGUUCUGUUUUCAGAAAAGAGACAUUGUACAGUAGAUUUUGUUAUUAUCUUCCCAGCUCCUAUUUCCCCUUUCAGAGAUGGACAUGUGACUCAAAACCUAACAGAGUCCUUCCAUGGGAUGUUUCUAUCUUGAACUAUCUGGGAAGAGUCUUUUUUUCUAUCUGUUUAGAAACAUAAAGAAUAUAAAUCCAGAGCUUCCUGCAGCUCCCAGAUAUCUUUCUAGUUGAGCUAUUUGGCCUGGGAGAACGAAGGCUACAUUUAAUGCAAAGCAGGGAGAUAAAGAGGUUGGCAAGUGUUUGAGUCUCUGAUUCUGAAAGACUACCUUCAUUAGUUCUCUUUCUGUGGUUUGAAUGUUCAAGCUAAAAACGUGCCCCUUUGGGGCUUCCCUGGUGGUUCAGUGGUUAAGAAUCCGCCUGCCAAUGCAGGGGACACGGGUUCAAGCCGAGUUCAAGCCCUGGUACAGGAAGAUCCCACAUGCUGUGGAGCAGCUAAGCCCGUUCGCCACAACUACUGAGCCUGUGCUCUAGAGCCCACGAGCCACAACUACUGAGCCCAUGAGCCACAACUACUGAGCCCACAAGGCACAACUACUGAAGCCCAUGCACCUAGAGACUGUACUCUGCAACAAGAGAAGCCACCGCAAUGAGAAGCCGGUGCACUGCCACAAAGAGUAGCCCCUGCUUGCCGCAACUCCAGCGCACAGCAACGAAGACCCAGUGCAGCCAAAAAUAAAUAAAUAAAAUAAAUAAAUCUAUAUAUUAAAAAAAUGCCCCUUUGCAUUUGGCCAGUUAAGGGUUUCUCACCUGUAACCAAAAGGGGUCUUGACUUGUGCAACUGUUAUUGUACAAAAUAUCAUUUUACAUUGAUGACUGAUUUUUCAAAUUUCUUAAUGAGAAUUCCUUUAAGAAGGAAAAGGCAGUAUCCAAUCAUUUAAACUAUUAAACUGGCCUGGGGAUAAAGUUAAUAGAUACUUCCCCAUGCCUCUGUACAAAGCCCAGCCCUCUCCAUCAGCACACUUGCCAUCUCCACUUGAGUGACUCAUCCAAAGCACAACACUUGAUUUUUUUCCCCUCCCAAACCUGCUUCUCCCCUCAUCUUUCCCAUCCCACAAAUGGUCCUUUCGUCCAUUCACCUGGAUUCUAAGUGAAAAGCUUAGGUGGCUGCUUUUAUGGUCCCCUUUUGCUCCCCCCUAGAUCUAAUCCAUCAUCAAGUCCCGAGUCUCCCUCCAGUAUGUAUCCUGGACCCUGCCCUUCUCUCCAUCCACAGUUUCUGUCAUCUCCUGCUUGGACUCUGCAGGAGCCUCUGAACUGACUCCCUGUCUCCACUUCUCAUCCCUCUCUUGUCUCUUCUUCACACAGAAGCCCAAAUGGGCCUUUAAUAACACAAAUCAGAUCCCGUCAUUUCCUUGCUUAAAACCACUGACAGCUUUCCAUUGCAUACAGAAUAAAAUGCACAGGCCUGUCGUGGUCCAGAAGACCCCGGGUGUCUGCACCAGCCCCUGCCCGCCUCUCCAACCUCAGCUCCUGUCACUCUACCCCUGCUUACUAUGCUCCAGCCACCCUAGUCUUUCUAUUCCUUGUUUCUGCCUCAGGCCCUUUGUAACAGCCAUUCCUUCUCCUGGAACAUCUUUGCCCAAAUCUUAGGGGGUUGGCUCCUUAAUUUUCAGGGCUCAGUCAGAUAUCACCUCCUCAGGGGUGCCUUUGGAUAUAGUAUAGUAGUAUUUACCACUAUCAAAAAUUACUGGUUAGAUAGCCUCAUCCACCAGAGGGCAGACAGCAGAAGCAAGAAUAACUACAAUCCUGCAGCCUGUGGAACAAAAACCACAUUCACAGAAAGAUAGA